CGGAAGGAUCAUUACUGUGAUUUAGUACUACACUGCGUGAGCGGAACGAAAACAACAACACCUAAAAUGUGGAAUAUAGCAUAUAGUCGACAAGAGAAAUCUACGAAAAACAAACAAAACUUUCAACAACGGAUCUCUUGGUUCUCGCAUCGAUGAAGAGCGCAGCGAAAUGCGAUACCUAGUGUGAAUUGCAGCCAUCGUGAAUCAUCGAGUUCUUGAACGCACAUUGCGCCCCUCGGCAUUCCGGGGGGCAUGCCUGUUUGAGCGUCGUUUCCAUCUUGCGCGUGCGCAGAGUUGGGGGAGCGGAGCGGACGACGUGUAAAGAGCGUCGGAGCUGCGACUCGCCUGAAAGGGAGCGAAGCUGGCCGAGCGAACUAGACUUUUUUUCAGGGACGCUUGGCGGCCGAGAGCGAGUGUUGCGAGACAACAAAAAGCUCGACCUCAAAUCAGGUAGGAAUACCCGCUGAACUUAAGCAUAU
This 479-nucleotide ribosomal RNA is filed under the name Pichia kudriavzevii. RNAcentral describes it as "eukaryotic LSU rRNA". The stretch from base 118 to 270 matches the Rfam family "5.8S ribosomal RNA". Lineage: Eukaryota; Fungi; Ascomycota; Pichiomycetes; Pichiales; Pichiaceae. The record is from RNAcentral.